Molecule: transfer RNA, 67 nt
Filed under: unidentified
Description: Borboresthes tibialis tRNA-Ile
Source: RNAcentral
UAAUGAAGUGCCUGAAAAAAAGGGCUAUUUUGAUAGAAUAGAUUAUGCACCAAAAUGCCUUCAUUAU